UGAAAAAUGAGAGGAGCCCCCCUGGCUUCAUAUUCUGUGUCUAAUCUCUCCGGCGUGUUCAUUAUCAUUUAUCAGAAUGGAUGGGAAGGGAAAACCGCCCUUAUCUCCAAGGCCAAUUAAGGCACACAGAAUUGCGGAAACGAUGCGCUCUAAUCGGAUAUUUUUCGAUGGCAACAUUUAUUUCUUUACGGAGUUGGUGAGGAAAACGUAUAAGGUGAAGGAAAAGUGGUCCCAUGAAUAUGAUAAGAGUCUGGCUCAACUUGUGUUAAUCAAGUUUCGAUCUAGCCUAUCCUACAAGCCCAAACCCCUACCCAGGCCUCCCAUCUAUGGUUCUUUGGAUGACUCAGCUAGUAUUUUCGCCUCCACGGUCAAGGUUGUGUUCCAGGUGCAGGGCUGGUGGUCUUAUGAUUAUACUAAUGAUCUUGUUCAAUUAGCGAUAAUCAAGCUCAGAUCCAAUAAACCAGUUAAGCCACUUGCUAUUAAGCCACUUGCUGUUGAUGUUGCUGAUAAGCCUGUUGCUGAUAAGCCGGUUGCUGUUCCCCUUCAACAAACUCAAGGGAUCUCUGAAUAGCAAUGAGCAUGAACCAUGGUGCAAAAGAAAAUUGGGAGAGGUUGUAUUGGGAUGAUGGCUAUUCUAAGAAACUUGCUGAGGAUCAUGCUAAUUAUGAUUCACCUGAUGAUGACGAGCUACAGGAUCAAUUGUGGGGAGAAACACGGAAAGAGACACCUGGGAAAAAGCUAGCCAAAUCCGUGACAAAUUUGAAUAUGAUAGAGACAGAAGAAUGAGAGAAA
Molecule: non-coding RNA, 792 nt
Organism: Salvia hispanica
Lineage: Eukaryota; Viridiplantae; Streptophyta; Magnoliopsida; Lamiales; Lamiaceae
Source: RefSeq, a predicted model, not a curated record